RNAcentral lists this long non-coding RNA (1711 nucleotides) under Gallus gallus (chicken). The record is from RNAcentral. Lineage: Eukaryota; Metazoa; Chordata; Aves; Galliformes; Phasianidae.
UUCUGAUUAUCCAGAGCAGAGGAAAUAGGAAGCAUGCACAGGACAAAACAAGCAUCAGCAGCUAGACAGCUGAUGGGUGAUGGCUUUGCUUAUUGCAUUCCUAACAGUCUCUGUGUUCUUGUGUUCUUUCCUCAGUCUUUGUCUGUUGUUCAGCUGUCCUCCUCUGUGAUUUAGAUCAUAGACUCCUGGACUAGAGACAAUCCAGCUUGGGAUAUUCUGUGAUUCUGUGACUCUGUACCUCAUUAAUGUGUGAUCUCUUGAAAAAAUGUGGCUCUGAGCAGACCAAAAGUUUGGUUCUACACCUUAAGAAGAUUGUUGCACUGCUCAGCUAAGCCUACUAGUGGUAGCAAGCAUGUGCCUUCACAGUCAGUACAUCAUAUCUAGACAUUUUGUUAGGGAACUUUGCUCUUUUUUUUUUUUUUUUUUGCUAGCAUACAUUCUAAUACAAUGUUCUAUGGAGUUAAACUGUAGUAUUCAAAAUUACGUAAAGAGAAUAGGGUAAUUGGGGAAAUCAUUGAUGCAUCCCAAUGGGGCAUCAAAUUGAAUCUUUGUAAAUACAUGAAGAGAAACUUUUUUUUUUAGUUGAAACCUGGAGUUAAAAACUCACUUUUGAUUAAGAUUGCUAAGUAGCAUUUUCUAAGUGGUUUUAAUUUUACUUUGAGCAACAGCAAGAAAAAUGCAAGACAACACUCCUGUUACUCCAAUCGUCUUUUUUGAAGGCUAUACAGUGCAUAGUAUGCUGCUCCCUAACUGUAAUUCAUUGUGAGCAUGACAGAGGUACAGAAUUGGACACUUGCAGCUGCCCUAUUUACCAGUGAGGACACUUGAGAAAACUGAUGUUUUUGAAGAAACCCAUUGCCGCAUCCAGCAGUGCAGACAAUAGUGGAAGGCAAAGAUCUAACCCCUCUUGCCCAAAAGAUUCAUUAUGGCUCUGCUCUUGACCAACCCACACCAGUUCCUCUCAGACUAGACAUGAUGAGACCAAGAGACUGGAGCUGUUCUGAAAGCUGGACUGUGCAGUGUGUCAUGUUGUAUUGCCAAAAUGCAUUGCUUGGUGGAGUGCUUACCUGUAUAUCACUUUUAGCAUACAUAUUCCCUUCUGGAAUAAGAAAGACACUGUAACAGUUCCUCCCAAAAGUACAGGCUACGUAGGCAUGCUGCUCAGAAGCAGAACAUCAGGCAAAAUAUUUUUUCUUGGAAAGGGGUUGGUUUGCAAUGGGAACAGCCAGAGACGAGGCAGAGAAGGGCAGUCACGCCUGCAAGGGAAGAAUAGGAAACACUGGCCUGAGAGAAUCUUGAGGGAUCUUGCUAGUAGAAAACAGGCUGGGAGGAAGCUGGGAAUAAUGAAUACUGAAGGUGUAUUCUUCUACAGGGAAACAGAACUCUGUCAGUGACAUUCCCAACACUACCCUUAACUUGGCUUUCUGAUGGAAAUAAGCUUUAAGGUCAUGAAUACUUGCUGAAAAGAGAUUUGAGCCACAUGUCAUGAACUUGGAUCAGAAGAGGCAAGAAGGUAUCACUGGGUUUGCCCUUAUCAUUCCAGUAUGUAUUUCCUUCAUUAAAACAAAAACAAAAAACACAAUAAAUGACUGCCUUUUCUUUUUCCUAGCCUCCCACACAGCAGCUAUGCCACAAAUCAGAUGCCAUGUAGGGUCGGUUACUCUGAUUUCCAAAUGUCUUCUUUAAUCUCCUCCUUCCCUUCUGUUCAGCU